RNAcentral lists this ribosomal RNA (433 nucleotides) under uncultured bacterium. RNAcentral's name for it is "partial 16S ribosomal RNA". It matches the Rfam family "Bacterial small subunit ribosomal RNA", at positions 29 to 507 of the family's 1533-position model. The record is from RNAcentral.
AACGAACGCUGGCGGCAUGCCUAACACAUGCAAGUCGAACGAGACCUUCGGGUCUAGUGGCGCACGGGUGCGUAACGCGUGGGAACCUGCCCUUAGGUUCGGAAUAACUCCCCGAAAGGGGUGCUAAUACCGGAUAAUGUCUUCGGACCAAAGAUUUAUCGCCUUUGGAUGGGCCCGCGGUGGAUUAGCUAGUUGGUAGGGUAAAAGCCUACCAAGGCGACGAUCCAUAGCUGGUCUGAGAGGAUGAGCAGCCACACUGGGACUGAGACACGGCCCAGACUCCUACGGGAGGCAGCAGUGGGGAAUAUUGGACAAGGGGCGAAAGCCUGAUCCAGCAAUGCCGCGUGAGUGAUGAAGGCCUUAGGGUUGUAAAGCUCUUUUACCCGGGAUGAUAAUGACAGUACCGGGAGAAUAAGCUCCGGCUAACUCCGUG